Seriola dumerili (greater amberjack) is the source of this 125-nucleotide small nuclear RNA. Lineage: Eukaryota; Metazoa; Chordata; Actinopteri; Carangiformes; Carangidae. The record is from Ensembl.
CCUUUCCUUGUCAUGGGGGGAGAGCAACUCAAUGAACGACUAGUGAGAGUAGCCCUGCCAGCACCGUAACAACACAUUCGCAUCACCUGGACUUCUGUCCAGAGCAUGGUGCAAUUUUUGGCAAC